This is a long non-coding RNA of Oryzias melastigma (Indian medaka), 813 nucleotides long. RefSeq lists it as uncharacterized. Lineage: Eukaryota; Metazoa; Chordata; Actinopteri; Beloniformes; Adrianichthyidae. The record is from RefSeq and is a predicted model, not a curated record. The transcript is spliced from 3 exons.
CACACCCACAUGAAGAAAUGUUUCUCCUCCGCAGCACAGCACGACGUGUGUCUCUACCGGCAGAGAGAUAGCGGCUGUGUUCAAAUUCAGGUGCUGCGACCUCCCGAGGCCGGGUUUGUCGGCCGGUGACGUCACAGCGUCGCGACAAGUGCUGUCCAAAUUCAGGGUCUGCUUCAAACUCAGCCGACGAACGCGGCCUCACUCUUCCGAUUUUGAAGGAUUGUUCUGGUGUAUCCUUCUAUACUGACCGUAUCCCAAGAUGCAUUGCGGUCGGCCCCGAAGAAAUUUUCUGGCAACAAUGGCGGACGUUGAUGCGGGACGCGGAGUCUGGGAAAAUUUCACUUUUAAAUAGCCGGCGUCACCGACCCGGUUCUUCGUGAACUCCACUGCCCUGCUUCAGUAAUUCCUGAUUAGCUGGAUUGGAUGAGCUCCGUUUCUGAUUGACUGAACACACCUGAUCAGGACAAUCCUGGAGAAAUUGGAUCUGCUGGAGAAGUACAGCAGUGAAGAAGUACAGCAGUGGGUGAAAGAGAAGAGAGUGAAGAAAGAGAAGGAAGGAGUGAGCCACCGGCUGGACGAAGAAAAAUAAUAAGAAACAGUGAUGAGCUUCUAGACCUGAUCAGAGAGGACAUGAGGCAGAAGAGCAGAGCGCACGAGAGAGGAGGGAAACUUUUGACCAACUUUAGUCUGCUGGAAAGAAUUGCUGUUAAAAUCCUUAGAUGUCUGAUAAUAAAUAAAUGAAGUUUAUGUUUGAUAUAUUAAACAUGUUUGUUUUUGUUUUGUUAAUUUAAAUAAAGAUCUAAAUCAAACACA